This 488-nucleotide ribosomal RNA is filed under the name uncultured bacterium. Its description in RNAcentral is "bacterial SSU rRNA". It matches the Rfam family "Bacterial small subunit ribosomal RNA", at positions 27 to 518 of the family's 1533-position model. The record is from RNAcentral.
GGACGAACGCUGGCGGCGUGCCUAACACAUGCAAGUCGAACGGAGUGCAAUUGGAGAUUCGUCGAAGAGCUGCACUUAGUGGCGGACGGGUGAGUAAUGCGUGAGCAACCUGCCCUUCAGAGGGGGACAACAGUUGGAAACGACUGCUAAUACCGCAUGAUGUAUCCGGGAGGCAUCUUUUGGAUACCAAAGAUUUUAUCGCUGAGGGAUGGGCUCACGUCUGAUUAGCUGGUUGGUGGGGUAACGGCCUACCAAGGCUGCGAUCAGUAGCCGGACUGAGAGGUUGAACGGCCACAUUGGGACUGAGAUACGGCCCAGACUUUUACGGGAGGCAGCAGUGGGGAAUAUUGGGCAAUGGGCGCAAGCCCUGACCCAGCAACGCCGCGUGAAGGAAGAAGGCCUUCGGGUUGUAAUCUUCUUUUAUGAGGGACGAAGGAAGUGACGGUACCUCAUGAAUAAGCCACGGCUAACUACGUGCCAGCAGCCGC